AAACAAAAUUGAGUAAGCAACAGAAGUCAUUCAUUUCAAAGAUUACUUCUAGUUAAAAGCUGAACAUGGUAAUUUACAAUUUUCCUUAUAUUCAGGAACGGACUGUUUGGGUGAGUUGCAUUUUCUAUCAGUCCUCAAAAACUUUUAAAUGGAGGGAAAGUUUUAUACAGGUUUAGUUGAUCAGUGGAUUUACAAAUAGGGCACCUAAAUGUGGCGUGUUUAGUGACGGCAUUUUUUCAAAAAAUAUUCGAGGUACGCAUGUGCAUAUAAUUGUGUUCUAAAGAGGAGUUUGCUCGAUUUGUAAAUUGAAUGAGUUGAAAUAUAGAAAAAGGCGAUUAGACUCAGCUCGAACAUGGAUGUUUACUGAACCAUAAACAUUGGAUUAGUGGAUUUAACAUAAUAGAACAAAACUGUGGAAAACUUUAAACAAUUCUGUAAAAGAUCGGGG
RNAcentral lists this long non-coding RNA (448 nucleotides) under Mytilus galloprovincialis (Mediterranean mussel). Lineage: Eukaryota; Metazoa; Mollusca; Bivalvia; Mytilida; Mytilidae. The record is from RNAcentral.